GUAUUAAUAAGCGGAGGACAAGAAACCAACAGGGAUUCCCGUAGUAAGGGCGACUGAAGUGGGAAAAGCUCAAGCUUAAAAUCGCAGGGCGCAAGCUCUGAGAAUUGUAGUUUUGUAGGCAACUUUUAGGGGAGGCGGUGGACUAAGUCUCUUGGAAUAGAGCACCAUAGAGGGUGACAGUCCUGUGAGUCUGCUGCUGAACCGUAUACUGUUGCUUGAAGAGUCGGGUUGUUUGGGAGUACAGCCCUAAGUGGGAGGUAAAUUCCUUCUAAAGCUAAAUACUGACAGGAGACCGAUAGCGCACAAGUA
RNAcentral lists this ribosomal RNA (309 nucleotides) under uncultured eukaryote. Its description in RNAcentral is "partial large subunit ribosomal RNA". It matches the Rfam family "Eukaryotic large subunit ribosomal RNA", at positions 40 to 350 of the family's 3401-position model. The record is from RNAcentral.